Molecule: ribosomal RNA, 443 nt
Filed under: uncultured bacterium
Lineage: Bacteria
Description: partial 16S ribosomal RNA
Rfam family: Bacterial small subunit ribosomal RNA
Source: RNAcentral
CCUACGGGUGGCAGCAGUGGGGAAUAUUGGGCAAUGGGCGCAAGCCUGACCCAGCAACGCCGCGUGAAGGAAGAAGGCUUUCGGGUUGUAAACUUCUUUUCUCAGGGACGAAGAAAGUGACGGUACCUUAGGAAUAAGCCACGGCUAACUACGUGCCAGCAGCCGCGGUAAUACGUGGGUGGCAAGCGUUAUCCGGAUUUACUGGGUGUAAAGGGCGUGUAGGCGGGACUGCAAGUCAGAUGUGAAAACCACGGGCUCAACCUGUGGACUGCAUUUGAAACUGUAGUUCUUGAGUACUGGAGAGGAAGACGGAAUUCCUAGUGUAGCGGUGAAAUGCGUAGAGAUUAGGAGGAACACCAGUGGCGAAGGCGGUCUGCUGGACAGCAACUGACGCUGAGGCGCGAAAGCGUGGGGAGCAAACAGGAUUAGAUACCCUAGUAGUC